UUUGAAGACUGAGCCAGACUGCGUCUUUGCCGAUUCUUUUUCGGAACGAUUUUCUCAUCUCUGAUGUUGGUUACACUUCUUGCAUGACAUGGAAAAUAUCCGCAGUUUCAGAAUCAGGAAAUAUGGACAACCCUUUGCAUUAUUAUGUUUUUAUUUUCUUAUUUACAGUGUACAAAAACUUAAAAAUCUAGAAACAACUAAAAAUAUCGAUCACAUUGUGCAACCACUGCAGGACAAUACAGUUUGGCGAAAUUCAGCAAGAUCCUUAACAAAUUCUGGAAAUCCUCGAACUAAAACUGGGUGAUGAGGUACUAGCUGAGCAUCACACAUUACACCCAAUCGGAUAUGGUCUGCGUAUUCGUUUAUACAGAGAGAUAUACCUAUAGAACAGAAAAAAUGUAAAUUAUGUUAUAUAUUAAAUUAAAUUGUUAUAUGAAAUAUAUUUUUGCUAAUGAAGAACGUUUCUCAUACAAUAAG
Molecule: long non-coding RNA, 477 nt
Organism: Dendroctonus ponderosae (mountain pine beetle)
Lineage: Eukaryota; Metazoa; Arthropoda; Insecta; Coleoptera; Curculionidae
Exons: 3
Source: RefSeq, a predicted model, not a curated record